RNAcentral lists this ribosomal RNA (1277 nucleotides) under Sesame phyllody phytoplasma. RNAcentral's name for it is "bacterial SSU rRNA". It matches the Rfam family "Bacterial small subunit ribosomal RNA", at positions 276 to 1533 of the family's 1533-position model. The record is from RNAcentral. Lineage: Bacteria; Bacillati; Mycoplasmatota; Mollicutes; Acholeplasmatales; Acholeplasmataceae.
AUGAUGUGUAGCCGGGCUGAGAGGUUGAACGGCCACAUUGGGACUGAGACACGGCCCAAACUCCUACGGGAGGCAGCAGUAGGGAAUUUUCGGCAAUGGAGGAAACUCUGACCGAGCAACGCCGCGUGAACGAUGAAGUAUUUCGGUACGUAAAGUUCUUUUAUUAGGGAAGAAUAAAUGAUGGAAAAAUCAUUCUGACGGUACCUAAUGAAUAAGCCCCGGCUAACUAUGUGCCAGCAGCCGCGGUAAUACAUAGGGGGCAAGCGUUAUCCGGAAUUAUUGGGCGUAAAGGGUGCGUAGGCGGUUAAAUAAGUUUAUGGUCUAAGUGCAAUGCUCAACAUUGUGAUGCUAUAAAAACUGUUUAGCUAGAGUAAGAUAGAGGCAAGUGGAAUUCCAUGUGUAGUGGUAAAAUGCGUAAAUAUAUGGAGGAACACCAGUAGCGAAGGCGGCUUGCUGGGUCUUUACUGACGCUGAGGCACGAAAGCGUGGGGAGCAAACAGGAUUAGAUACCCUGGUAGUCCACGCCGUAAACGAUGAGUACUAAACGUUGGGUAAAACCAGUGUUGAAGUUAACACAUUAAGUACUCCGCCUGAGUAGUACGUACGCAAGUAUGAAACUUAAAGGAAUUGACGGGACUCCGCACAAGCGGUGGAUCAUGUUGUUUAAUUCGAAGGUACCCGAAAAACCUCACCAGGUCUUGACAUGCUUCUGCAAAGCUGUAGAAACACAGUGGAGGUUAUCAGUUGCACAGGUGGUGCAUGGUUGUCGUCAGCUCGUGUCGUGAGAUGUUGGGUUAAGUCCCGCAACGAGCGCAACCCUUAUUGUUAGUUACCAGCACGUAAUGGUGGGGACUUUAGCAAGACUGCCAGUGAUAAAUUGGAGGAAGGUGGGGACGACGUCAAAUCAUCAUGCCCCUUAUGACCUGGGCUACAAACGUGAUACAAUGGCUGUUACAAAGGGUAGCUGAAGCGCAAGUUUUUGGCGAAUCUCAAAAAAACAGUCUCAGUUCGGAUUGAAGUCUGCAACUCGACUUCAUGAAGUUGGAAUCGCUAGUAAUCGCGAAUCAGCAUGUCGCGGUGAAUACGUUCUCGGGGUUUGUACACACCGCCCGUCAAACCACGAAAGUUGGUAAUACCCAAAGCCGGUGGCCUAACUUCGCAAGAAGAGGGAACCGUCUAAGGUAGGGUCGAUGAUUGGGGUUAAGUCGUAACAAGGUAUCCCUACCGGAAGGUGGGGAUGGAUCACCUCCUUUCUAAGGAAACAAUUAUCAUCUUCA